Molecule: long non-coding RNA, 1564 nt
Filed under: Homo sapiens (human)
Lineage: Eukaryota; Metazoa; Chordata; Mammalia; Primates; Hominidae
Description: GRTP1 antisense RNA 1 (GRTP1-AS1)
Source: RNAcentral
CGCUGACCAAGUGCCAGGCCUCACUGAAGCUGACCUCCGCGUUAACCCUGGACACAAGCCGAGCAGGAAGGAUAAUGCCGGCUUGACAACUCCACUGGUUUCUGCUCCCACUGGCCCUACCUCUGUUAGAGGUGUUCGCCAGGCACCCCAUGCGGUCACCAGCAGACAGCCGCUUUCUGCACAAGUUCCAAGAUGGACUCACAGCAGUCCCCGCCAGCCAUGACGCUGAGAUGGGUGUACACCCAGCUCUGGAGGAACCCAACCGCCUGUGGUCUCUCCACAACGGCUGCAAAAUACUGCUUCAGUUUUGAUUCUUUCAUGGAGGAAGACGUAACUUCAAGUUAAAAGCAGCAGGCGCACCGCUCACCCCUGGACGCUGAGGCUAGACACUGGGUGGAAACCGGUUCCUUCCGGCCCCCGGGCCCUGCACCAGAGCUCGACCCCCACCGCCUCACCUGUCCUGAUGGCGUCCUCCAGCCUGGGGUUUCUCUCUCCCUGGAGAAGCUGGUGGUAGUAGCCGGGAUUCUGGUCCAUCUGCGCCUGGGCCCCACUCAGCACCAUCCAGACGCGGGCACGGUGCUCCAGCGGGACCCCUUUCCGGACAUAGCGCUUCACUGAAGGCCGAGAGGACGGACAGCGUGUGAGCUGGACCAGGGGCCUGCGGGGCCCACGCGUUCCUGCCACACUUUCCACUCUCACCAGUUCUCUUCUUAAAUCAAAUAUUAAAGAGACCCAGAACUUCGUCCAUCUCCACCAAAACUGGUACAUAUACUCCUUUAAAAAUUCUGCUCUCCUCUCCCUCUCAACAGAGCACAAACCAGACUGGCUACAGAACCGCCCCCACGCCCACUUCACCAUUCAAUGCAGGUGGUCAAGAAACAGAGCCGCGGUCAGAUGGCUGCUCUGCAAAGCUUCCUGGCAGCCGUGCAGAGCAGCAGCAAAGGGGCAAAGCAGUGAGAGGCCCAGCUGAGUACAAGGAGGCCGGCUGGGCUCAGCUGUGAGCACCUCAGGUGGGACGCCACAGCUGGGAGAACACGGUUUCAGUGGCAGACGUCACUGUCCAACUCGUGCAGUUAAUCUCUAUAUAUUGAAAGCUACUCCAUUUUGUAGGGAUAUUUUAAUUGACAAUAAAAAUGUGAAAAAGUAAUUAGUAAUUUUAAUGGCCACAGAAACAUAUAGGGACAGAAAGAAGCCAAAAGCCAUGAGCUAUCUUCAUUAGUCAAUACUGAGUAAUUUCUUAGGCAGAUGGAAAAGAUUCUCCGCUGUAACCAACCUCCAGGUCACAGCCACAGGACUUCCCACGGACUUCCCCUGCUCUUAAAGCAAACUGCAGAACCAAGCGUGGACUUCUGCUCCUGAGGGGGACGGAAGGACAGUCCCCUGCGGUCAUCUCUAUAGGAGAUGGGGGCCAUGGGUGGGAGAGAAACUCCCUGUUGCACUUUGUAGCCCUCAGUAUGAUUAAAGUGUUUACCAUGUACAUAAAUUAUGCUUUUUAAGUUCACAUGUCUUAUAUACUUUUACGUUACUUUUUAAAAUUAAAAGACAGUUAACUUUUAAGAAUAAA